Molecule: ribosomal RNA, 472 nt
Filed under: uncultured bacterium
Lineage: Bacteria
Description: partial 16S ribosomal RNA
Rfam family: Bacterial small subunit ribosomal RNA
Source: RNAcentral
AGUGAACGCUGGCGGUAGGCCUAACACAUGCAAGUCGAACGGCAGCACAGUAAGAGCUUGCUCUUACGGGUGGCGAGUGGCGGACGGGUGAGGAAUACAUCGGAAUCUACUUUUUCGUGGGGGAUAACGUAGGGAAACUUACGCUAAUACCGCAUACGACCUACGGGUGAAAGCAGGGGAUCUUCGGACCUUGCGCGAUUGAAUGAGCCGAUGUCGGAUUAGCUAGUUGGCGGGGUAAUGGCCCACCAAGGCGACGAUGCGGAGCUGGCCUGAGAGGGUGACCGGCCACAGUGGGCAUGAGAUACGGGCCAGACUCCUACGGGAGGCAGCAGUGGGGAAUAUUGCACAAUGGGCGGAAGCCUGAUGCAGCAACGCCGCGUGCGGGAUGACGGCCUUCGGGUUGUAAACCGCUUGCGCCUGUGACGAAGCGUGAGUGACGGUAAUGGGUAAAGAAGCACCGGCUAACUACGUG